GACGAACGCUGGCGGCGUGCUUAACACAUGCAAGUCGAACGGAGAGGCCCUGCUUUUGUGGGGUGCUCGAGUGGCGAACGGGUGAGUAACACGUGAGUAACCUGCCCUUGACUUUGGGAUAACUUCAGGAAACUGGGGCUAAUACCGGAUAGGAGCUCCUGCUGCAUGGUGGGGGUUGGAAAGUUUCGGCGGUUGGGGAUGGACUCGCGGCUUAUCAGCUUGUUGGUGGGGUAGUGGCUUACCAAGGCUUUGACGGGUAGCCGGCCUGAGAGGGUGACCGGCCACAUUGGGACUGAGAUACGGCCCAGACUCCUACGGGAGGCAGCAGUGGGGAAUAUUGCACAAUGGGCGGAAGCCUGAUGCAGCAACGCCGCGUGCGGGAUGACGGCCUUCGGGUUGUAAACCGCUUUCGCCUGUGACGAAGCGUGAGUGACGGUACCUGCAGAAGAAGCACCGGCUAACUACGUG
RNAcentral lists this ribosomal RNA (468 nucleotides) under uncultured bacterium. RNAcentral's name for it is "partial 16S ribosomal RNA". It matches the Rfam family "Bacterial small subunit ribosomal RNA", at positions 28 to 507 of the family's 1533-position model. The record is from RNAcentral.